This is a long non-coding RNA of Amblyraja radiata (thorny skate), 190 nucleotides long. RefSeq lists it as uncharacterized. Lineage: Eukaryota; Metazoa; Chordata; Chondrichthyes; Rajiformes; Rajidae. The transcript is spliced from 3 exons. The record is from RefSeq and is a predicted model, not a curated record.
CCAAUCCAAUUUUGAAUCCAAUUGGCUCACUCACCUUGGAUUUCAUGUGAUCUCACCUUCAGACAGGCUACCAUGCUGACCCUUGUCAAAGGUCUUGCGAAAGUCAAUAUAGACAGUGCCCAUUGUCCCACCCUCAUCAAUCUUUGUGGUCACCUCUUUGGAAAACUCCCACAAAUCAGAUUUGUCUGAU